Molecule: long non-coding RNA, 1506 nt
Organism: Chiloscyllium plagiosum (whitespotted bambooshark)
Lineage: Eukaryota; Metazoa; Chordata; Chondrichthyes; Orectolobiformes; Hemiscylliidae
Source: RefSeq, a predicted model, not a curated record
AUGUGCAAUUUAAGCCAUUUGAUAGAAACAACAUAAAUGAUAUGAAAUCAAACCAAAUCCUAAUCUGACAUGUUUUGUAGUUCCCGCUGCUGCUCCAUUUUUGCAGCAGCAGUGGGAGUAGUGAAAGUGAAGACCAGGAGACUGCUGGGAAGUUCAGAAGAUAUGGCCAUGGCUGACUUGCUCAAUAUUUCCCAUCCAUCCCUAACAGCCUGAUUCCUUGGAGCUUGUUGUGAUUAAAUUCAGACACAGCUAAUUAACAUCUGGAAACCAAUUCAGAAGGUAAAUGCAAGCUGGGAGCCUGGGCUGUGGACCGCAGCUCUGUCCCCAGACAGUGCUGGAGAAACUCAGCAGGUCAGGCUGCAUCUGUGGAGAGAGAAACAAAGUUAACGGCUCAGCUCCAUCAGCGGCUGGUACUCAGCAUUUAGAAAAUCAGAGGAGAGAUAUCCCAGACCGGGAUAGGGAACUCUGUCAAUGAAUCUGCAUAAUGUUUUCCAAAACAAAACAUCCGAGAGAAAGGGAAGUUACACAGAGAAACCAAGAAAUAAUUAUUUUAUUUGUGGACAUUGUAUAUACACAUCUCAGGUGGUGGAGUUAGAACACUCCUGCAUUAUUCUGAAAUCAGAUCUUUCACUUUAACACCUGGGGUUUUGGCCCAGCUCAGAAUUAAAAGCGCCUAACCUUUCUUGUUCAGGGAAUUGAAUGUUGAUGUGCACUGACAUGCAAAAUUGAAAUAAUAUUCUAUACCCAGCAAACACAGUUAUGCAGAUGUAGCAACAGCACUGAGCCAGAGCUAGUUUGGAAGGUGAGGGCCCGGAGAGGAGAGGAGAGGACAAGGACACUUUCCCAAAGUUUAGGGAGAAUCAGACAGAACUCUCGUUGACAAAAUAACUCUCUACAAUAUCUGACAUUCCCGAUAACAGAGACGUCGAUCUUCGUGUCAUCGCAGGUAGAGAAGAAGACGGAGUUGUAUAAACCCUGACCGAGCGGCUGCUUCUAACCAGGGGCUGGGUGUAAAGCAGGUGAUUGUCCCAUUGGGGAGAUUUGGGAAUGAGUGUGCGGACUGUGUAAGUUACAGUCAACAAUAACUAUCACCAAAUUAGUUAAUGUAAAAAGAAUUGAAUAGUUUGUAAGACUAUUCAUAUCACAAAGCCCCGUGUAUAAUGUACCUUUUACCCCCGCUUACCCCAUGAAGCGGUACUUUACAAAGGCUGGGUUGGGCUUCGUGUUGAAAUGACAAUUUGAUCACUUUGUAGCAGCGGGUAUGGGGAAUAAGGAACAGUGUUCUGUGAGCGAUGCCCCAGGUUGUGUAGUGACAGACUCUCUCCCAGUAACAGUGUCCCAGGGAAUCCUGUCUCUAAUAUUUCCCACCCUCAGUGAAUAUCACUCUCCGGACAAACCCUGAGUUGGGAAGCUAUCGGUUUGAUUAUGUAUUAGAGAGGUGCUGGAAAAGUGGUGCUGGAUUCCUGAACGGCUUUUGCCCGAAACCUCGAUUCUCCUGCUCCUCGG